AUACGAAGGGGGCUAGCGUUGCUCGGAAUCACUGGGCGUAAAGCGCACGUAGGCGGCUUUCUAAGUCAGGGGUGAAAUCCUGGAGCUCAACUCCAGAACUGCCUUUGAUACUGGAAAGCUUGAGUUCGAGAGAGGUGAGUGGAACUGCGAGUGUAGAGGUGAAAUUCGUAGAUAUUCGCAAGAACACCAGUGGCGAAGGCGGCUCACUGGCUCGAUACUGACGCUGAGGUGCGAAAGCGUGGGGAGC
This 247-nucleotide ribosomal RNA is filed under the name uncultured bacterium. Its description in RNAcentral is "partial 16S ribosomal RNA". It matches the Rfam family "Bacterial small subunit ribosomal RNA", at positions 523 to 769 of the family's 1533-position model. The record is from RNAcentral.